CCCUUAGAUGUUCUGGGCUGCACGCGCGCGACAAUGACGUUUGCAACGAGAUUGCGAGGCCGUCAGGUCGAGCUGAUCUUGCAAGCUGCGUCGUGAUAGGGACAGUCGAUUGCAAUUAUUCGACUCGAACGAGGAAUUCCUUGUAAUCGCGCAUCAUCAGUGCGCGCUGAAUACGUCCCUGCCCUUUGUACACACCGCCCGUCGCUCCUACCGACUGAGUGAUCCGGUGAAUGUUUUGGAUCGGCUUCAAGUUGGUUCGCGCCUCUUGCUUGCUGUGAAAUCAUGUAAACCUUAUUGCUUAGAGGAAGGAGAAGUCGUAACA
This 322-nucleotide ribosomal RNA is filed under the name uncultured eukaryote. RNAcentral's name for it is "partial 18S ribosomal RNA". It matches the Rfam family "Eukaryotic small subunit ribosomal RNA", at positions 1470 to 1796 of the family's 1831-position model. The record is from RNAcentral.